RNAcentral lists this unclassified non-coding RNA (140 nucleotides) under uncultured Ascomycota. Its description in RNAcentral is "sequence contains ITS2". The record is from RNAcentral. Lineage: Eukaryota; Fungi; Ascomycota.
CAACCUUCAAGUUCAUCUUGGUGUUGGAGGAUGUCCUAUGGGAUACCCCCUAAACUUAAAGGCGAAACCCUUUGAAAAUAUCGCACAGCGGGCUAAACGCACGUGUGAUUUUUAAGGGGGCGUCGCUAAAAAUCUUUCAA